Non-coding RNA from Tulasnella sp. 332, 104 nucleotides. Lineage: Eukaryota; Fungi; Basidiomycota; Agaricomycetes; Cantharellales; Tulasnellaceae. The record is from the annotation of a GenBank genome assembly.
GGUUGUGUAGUGUAGUGGUUAUCACAUCGGAUUCUGAUCAGACUGGUCUGGAAGAAUCCAGCUCACACCUUCCGGUAACCUGGGUUCGACUCCCAGCAUGACCU